This 1307-nucleotide long non-coding RNA is filed under the name Dromaius novaehollandiae (emu). Its description in RNAcentral is "lncRNA (ENSDNVG00000008211.1)". Lineage: Eukaryota; Metazoa; Chordata; Aves; Casuariiformes; Dromaiidae. The record is from RNAcentral.
AAAAAUUAGCCAGAGUUCUCUAGGCAAGAGUCUGUAUGCAAGAGCUGUAUUCAGAAGGGGCCAGAACUGUGAUUAUUGUGUUACAUUACCGGGACAUUUCCAUGCUUCACCCAUUAGAGUAAGGAUGGAUGCAGUGAUGGGGCAGAGAGCAAUAAAGGACAAACUAGGGCAGAAGAUCAACCAGGAAUAUACUUUUUUGGAAAACAAGUCUCAGUGAACCGGUAAGAUCAGCCCCUAAUUUAGUAUUUCUUGUCAAAAUGUAGCACAAACUGGUAACAAGAAGCAAGCGUUUUAAUGAGAUCUCCAUUCUGCAAAUGAAUAUGCGUAAAAGUGUACAUAUUCUAUUUUGUAAAAUAGCUAAUAUUCCUAAAUAUUUUGAGGAUUGGAUGCUGCUAUAUGGAUGACACCGAUUAUCUAUUAAACUUAAAAUGUCGCUUUUCAUAUACUCUAACAGAAAUAUAAGAAGGCUGUUUACAGUAUUACAAAAAGUCUGUAAAAUCUGAUACUUUUCUCCCAACAGAGGCCAAUAAAGGAUUCCUCUGUGAGCAAAGCGUAAGAAAGAGCAUAAGAGGAGAAGCAUGGAGUUGUAUUUUCUAGCAUUCGGACAUUUACAAUUUGCUGAGCCAGAGGGUGUAUCCACAUGCUUGUAUUUAAUAAUUCCUGAUAGACUUGCCUGCGUGAAAUUAUUGAAUCAUUUUUUUGCCACGUGCAAUUUGAUAUUUAUCAUAAGCAGAGGCAAAGCUUAUUUAUGCAUUUACAGAAGUUCUUCUCUCUGCUGUUUUUUUUUCCCAGACUUCUUCCUGAUCACUUCCUUUGAGAUCCCCAUGUUCUUGCACAAAAAGCAGCCUCCUGUGAUGAAGACGAUUGGAAGAUCUAGCUUUGGCACCAUUUCCAAAGAGAAUUCCUGUGCUGCUCACCUUUCUUCCACGCUUAUUUGAGGAAACUAGAUACAGCUGAGCUUCUGACUGAUCUGUGGGACAUUUACAAACUGCCUCCCAAUCUGGUAUGUAACUCUGUAGUGUUUCCUUUUAUUUCUGGUCUUCCAGGAAAUUUGCUGUCUGAGUCAAACCAAACCAAAGAACACUGUAGAAAUGAGAAGAGAAGGAAAAGAAGAAGAAAAAGGAACAACUGCUCCCAGCGCUGCACAGGCUCCUGUUCAAGGAGUCAGAUAGCAGUCACAGCUACCACCUGCACUCUGACCCUGCCCUUCCAAGAUGUUGAAAGCAACCCCCAAAACACCUGGAAUGCCUGCUAGCAGCGGUGCCAGGGCCUCCUUUGAUGAAGCACUUCUUUACUUGCAGCCCCUG